GGCUCAGGAUGAACGCUGGCGGCGUGCUUAACACAUGCAAGUCGAACGAAGCACUUUAAUUGAUUUCUUCGGAAUGAAGUUUUUGUGACUGAGUGGCGGACGGGUGAGUAACGCGUGGGUAACCUGCCUCAUACAGGGGGAUAACAGUUGGAAACGACUGCUAAUACCGCAUAAGCGCACAGGAUUGCAUGAUCCAGUGUGAAAAACUCCGGUGGUAUGAGAUGGACCCGCGUCUGAUUAGCCAGUUGGCGGGGUAACGGCCCACCAAGGCGACGAUCAGUAGCCGGCCUGAGAGGGUGAACGGCCACAUUGGGACUGAGACACGGCCCAAACUCCUACGGGAGGCAGCAGUGGGGAAUAUUGCACAAUGGGGGAAACCCUGAUGCAGCGACGCCGCGUGAGCGAAGAAGUAUUUCGGUAUGUAAAGCUCUAUCAGCAGGGAAGAAGAAAUGACGGUACCUGACUAAGAAGCACCGGCUAAAUACGUG
RNAcentral lists this ribosomal RNA (488 nucleotides) under uncultured bacterium. Its description in RNAcentral is "bacterial SSU rRNA". It matches the Rfam family "Bacterial small subunit ribosomal RNA", at positions 21 to 507 of the family's 1533-position model. The record is from RNAcentral.